GCCGGGCAUGGGAGCUCAUGCCUGUAAUCCCAGCACUGUGGGAGGCCUAGACAGGAGGAUCACUUGAGCCCAGGAGUUCAAGGUUGCCGUGAGCUAUGAUUGCACCACUGCACUCCAGCCUGGGAGACAGAGUGAGACCCUGUCUUUA
This is a non-coding RNA of Homo sapiens (human), 148 nucleotides long. It matches the Rfam family "Metazoan signal recognition particle RNA". From Rfam's summary of the family: The signal recognition particle (SRP) is a universally conserved ribonucleoprotein. The record is from Rfam. Lineage: Eukaryota; Metazoa; Chordata; Mammalia; Primates; Hominidae.